RNAcentral lists this ribosomal RNA (140 nucleotides) under uncultured bacterium. RNAcentral's name for it is "partial 16S rRNA". It matches the Rfam family "Bacterial small subunit ribosomal RNA", at positions 355 to 511 of the family's 1533-position model. The record is from RNAcentral.
UGGGGAAUUUUCCGCAAUGGCGAAAGCCUGACGGAGCAAUGCCGCGUGGAGGUGGAAGGCCUACGGGUCGUCAACUUCUUUUCUCGGAGAAGAAACAAUGACGGUAUCUGAGGAAUAAGCAUCGGCUAACUCUGUGCCAG